Molecule: ribosomal RNA, 503 nt
Filed under: uncultured bacterium
Lineage: Bacteria
Description: partial 16S ribosomal RNA
Rfam family: Bacterial small subunit ribosomal RNA
Source: RNAcentral
AUUGAACGCUGGCGGCAGGCUUAACACAUGCAAGUCGAGCGGGGUGAUGGUGCUUGCACUAUCACUUAGCGGCGGACGGGUGAGUAAUGCUUAGGAAUCUGCCUGUUAGUGGGGGACAACAUCUCGAAAGGGAUGCUAAUACCGCAUACGUCCUACGGGAGAAAGCAGGGGAUCACUUGUGACCUUGCGCUAAUAGAUGAGCCUAAGUCGGAUUAGCUAGUUGGUGGGGUAAAGGCCUACCAAGGCGACGAUCUGUAGCGGGUCUGAGAGGAUGAUCCGCCACACUGGGACUGAGACACGGCCCAGACUCCUACGGGAGGCAGCAGUGGGGAAUAUUGGACAAUGGGGGGAACCCUGAUCCAGCCAUGCCGCGUAUGUGAAGAAGGCCUUAUGGUUGUAAAGCACUUUAAGCGAGGAGGAGGCUCUUUUGGUUAAUACCCAAGAUGAGUGGACGUUACUCGCAGAAUAAGCACCGGCUAACUCUGUGCCAGCAGCCGCCGUAA